This 559-nucleotide ribosomal RNA is filed under the name Ylistrum japonicum. Its description in RNAcentral is "partial 16S ribosomal RNA". The record is from RNAcentral. Lineage: Eukaryota; Metazoa; Mollusca; Bivalvia; Pectinida; Pectinidae.
AUAGCUAUCCCGAGACGGGAAGAUAGUGGCGAAAUACUUUUCGCGCGGGUUGAUAGCUGGUUGCCCUAGAAAUACAUAUAAGUGUAGCUCUAUGGAGGACACACUCUAAUGGUAAGGGUUUUCUAGGAAGCUAAAUAAGAAAUAUUAGUUUGGUGGGUUUGAAGUGAAGUGUUUUUAAAAGAAGUGAGGUUUUUCAGGAUAAGCUGAGAGACCUAGUGUAAAAGGAAGUUGUUGAAGAGUGGGGGUUUAAGUGGGCUUGAAGAAGCUAUCUUUUUGGAGUGGGUUAAAUCUCAGAGUUUCCCUAGAUUUAAAUAGAAGUUUUAAUUCCUUUUUGGUUUAUGGGGCCUUUUUACUGGACGAGUGUAGUAAAAGUGAUAAUGUAGGGAUGAGUAGUCGGAGUGGUGUAGUUGUUUUUAAUUCAGGUAGUAAAGCAAUGUGGAGUAGCAACUAUAUUGGUAAACAAAGCUAAAGGAACUCGGCAAAAAAAGGGACCGCCUGUUUAACAAAAACAUGGCUUUCUGAGUAACAUGGGGGGUCGUGCCUUCCCGGUGAGUUUUCG